GGGUGAGCUUAUACAGGCUCAUUGAAUAAACUAAUCAAUAUUAAUUAGUUAUAUCAUUCAUUUCAUAUAUAUGUAAUGCAUAAUCUAAAUGAGUUUUCACAUUGUAAACAUUCCAUAUAAGAUGGAUUUGUCAUCAGUGAUCCAGAUCCAAUGUGCCCAACUCAAACAGAAGCUUCUCAGGACUUCCGUUUAAUAUAUCCAAUGUGUCCAGCUCAUACAGAGGAUCUUCAUAGCUUUCACUUAAAAGUAGU
RNAcentral lists this unclassified non-coding RNA (251 nucleotides) under Hevea brasiliensis (rubber tree). Lineage: Eukaryota; Viridiplantae; Streptophyta; Magnoliopsida; Malpighiales; Euphorbiaceae. The record is from RNAcentral.